Molecule: non-coding RNA, 427 nt
Organism: Myodes glareolus (Bank vole)
Lineage: Eukaryota; Metazoa; Chordata; Mammalia; Rodentia; Cricetidae
Source: RefSeq, a predicted model, not a curated record
AGUCCUCACUCCCACUGCCUAAAAAUACUCCACUCCUUUAACGGCUGGCUCCUUAUCAUCAGGUUUUACCUAAAAGUCCUGCCCGCAUGUGCACUUAAUCCCACUCCAUUCAAUUAACCUAAUUAUUCCUUUAUCACCACUGGACAUUUACUGUGUUACCUCACACGUCAGAGGUCUUACACUCUUAAAGGUCAAAGAGGAUGGGUGUCAGUCACUGUAGCCCAGAGACAAGUGAGAAGUCUGGAACAGCAACAAGAACCCAACGGAUACUUGGUCAAGGAAGGAAAACAUGACGUAGGAACCUGGAGUUGCCAACACCACCUGCCUUGGAUCCCCAGAUGGUCCAGUGGGUCGUCAAAUGACUUGCAGGGAGAAAGUGAGGAUACUGUGGGAAAUUCUUUAAAAUACACAAACCAUGUGAAGCGCC